UGCAGUCGAGGGGUAACAGGAGUAGCUUGCUAUUUNCUGACGACCGGCGCACGGGUGCGUAACGCGUAUAGAAUCUACCUUAUACUGGGGGAUAGCCUUUGGAAACGAAGAUUAAUACCCCAUAGUAUUAUUUUUUGGCAUCAUUAAAUAAUUAAAGUUUCGGCGGUAUAAGAUGACUAUGCGUUCUAUUAGUUAGUUGGUAAGGUAACGGCUUACCAAGACUUCGAUAGAUAGGGGUCCUGAGAGGGAGAUCCCCCACACUGGUACUGAGACACGGACCAGACUCCUACGGGAGGCAGCAGUGAGGAAUAUUGGACAAUGGAGGCAACUCUGAUCCAGCCAUGCCGCGUGUAGGAAGACUGCCCUAUGGGUUGUAAACUACUUUUAUAUGGGAAGAAUAAGAUCUACGUGUAGAUNGAUGACGGUACCAUAAGAAUAAGCACCGGCUAACUCCGUGCCAGCAGCCGCGGUAAUACGGAGGGUGCAAGCGUUAUCCGGAAUCAUUGGGUUUAAAGGGUCCGUAGGCGGGCAUAUAAGUCAGUGGUGAAAGUCUGUGGCUNAACCAUAGAAUUGCCAUUGAUACUGUAUGUCUUGAAUUAUUGUGAAGUGGUUAGAAUAUGUAGUGUAGCGGUGAAAUGCUUAGAGAUUACAUAGAAUACCGAUUGCGAAGGCAGAUCACUAACAAUAUAUUGACGCUGAUGGACGAAAGCGUAGGUAGCGAACAGGAUUAGAUACCCUGGUAGUCUACGCCGUAAACGAUGGAUACUAGUUGUUUGGUUUUCGGACUGAGUGACUAAGCGAAAGUGAUAAGUAUCCCACCUGGGGAGUACGUUCGCAAGAAUGAAACUCAAAGGAAUUGACGGGGGCCCGCACNAGCGGUGGAGCAUGUGGUUUAAUUCGAUGAUACGCGAGGAACCUUACCAGGGCUUAAAUGUAGUCUGACAGCUUUAGAGAUAGAGUUUUCUUCGGACAGAUUACAAGGUGCUGCAUGGUUGUCGUCAGCUCGUGCCGUGAGGUGUCAGGUUAAGUCCUAUAACGAGCGCAACCCCUGUGGUUAGUUGCCAGCGAGUAAUGUCGGGAACUCUAGCCAGACUGCCGGUGCAAACCGUGAGGAAGGUGGGGAUGACGUCAAAUCAUCACGGCCCUUACGUCCUGGGCCACACACGUGCUACAAUGGUAGGGACAGAGAGCAGCCACUUAGCGAUAAGGAGCGAAUCUAUAAACCCUAUCUCAGUUCGGAUUGGAGUCUGCAACUCGACUCCAUGAAGC
Molecule: ribosomal RNA, 1269 nt
Filed under: Dokdonia genika
Lineage: Bacteria; Pseudomonadati; Bacteroidota; Flavobacteriia; Flavobacteriales; Flavobacteriaceae
Description: bacterial SSU rRNA
Rfam family: Bacterial small subunit ribosomal RNA
Source: RNAcentral